Non-coding RNA from Oscillatoriales cyanobacterium, 111 nucleotides. NCBI's taxonomy places the organism in Bacteria, Bacillati, Cyanobacteriota, Cyanophyceae, Oscillatoriales. The record is from Rfam.
GCUUCCGUGAGGAAGGGUCUGGAGGAAGCCAGCGGCAAACCUACAAGCUGACGGACAGAAACGUCAUAGAAGGCCGAGAUAGUCCUGGGGCGAGUUGGCACAACACAACAA